Molecule: long non-coding RNA, 244 nt
Filed under: Callithrix jacchus (white-tufted-ear marmoset)
Lineage: Eukaryota; Metazoa; Chordata; Mammalia; Primates; Cebidae
Description: lncRNA (ENSCJAG00000073632.1)
Source: RNAcentral
CCCCUCUAGAUGCCAAGUUCCAUGAGGACAGCAGGUCGUGAUAGUUCUAAAGGGUAGAACAACUCAGGUCUGUGAGAAGGGAAGGAAAAUAGCUCAAGGAAUUAAGGAGCCUUAGAGGCCCAGGAAGGUAUCCAGUAGUGCUCACUGCAAAAAUGUGAGCUUAAGCCAGAGAAGUCUCAGGCUUCAUAGGAACCCACAGGAGCAGAGUCCUGCUAUGUUGUCCAGGCCGGCCUUGAACUUCUGG